Molecule: ribosomal RNA, 534 nt
Filed under: uncultured bacterium
Lineage: Bacteria
Description: bacterial SSU rRNA
Rfam family: Bacterial small subunit ribosomal RNA
Source: RNAcentral
CGCAAUGGACGAAAGUCUGACGGAGCGACGCCGCGUGGAUGAAGAAGGCCGAAAGGUUGUAAAAUCCUUUUGCUGAUGAAGAAUAAGUGGAGUAGGGAAUGAUUCCAUGAUGACAUUAGUCGGUGAAUAAGCCCCGGCUAACUACGUGCCAGCAGCCGCGGUAACACGUAGGGGGCAAGCGUUGUUCGGAAUUAUUGGGCGUAAAGGGCAUGUAGGCGGUUUUGUAAGCCUGGUGUGAAAUCCUGCAGCUUAACUGUAGAAUUGCAUUGGGUACUGCAAGACUUGAAUCACAUAGGGGAAACUAGAAUUCCAGGUGUAGGGGUGGAAUCUGUAGAUAUCUGGAAGAAUACCGGUGGCGAAGUCGGGUUUCUAGCUGAUGAUUGACGCUGAGGUGCGAAAGUGCGGGGAGCAAACAGGAUUAGAUACCCUGGUAGUCCGCACCGUAAACGAUGUACACUAGGUGUCGGGGCAUGAGUCUCGGUGCCAAAGCUAACGUGUUAAGUGUACCGCCUGGGAAGUAUGCUCGCAAGGGUG